Molecule: ribosomal RNA, 445 nt
Filed under: uncultured bacterium
Lineage: Bacteria
Description: SSU rRNA
Rfam family: Bacterial small subunit ribosomal RNA
Source: RNAcentral
AGAGCGAACGCUGGCGGCAGGCUUAACACAUGCAAGUCGAGCGGGCGUAGCAAUACGUCAGCGGCAGACGGGUGAGUAACGCGUGGGAACGUACCUUUUGGUUCGGAACAACACAGGGAAACUUGUGCUAAUACCGGAUAAGCCCUUACGGGGAAAGAUUUAUCGCCAAAAGAUCGGCCCGCGUCUGAUUAGCUAGUUGGUGAGGUAACGGCUCACCAAGGCGACGAUCAGUAGCUGGUCUGAGAGGAUGAUCAGCCACAUUGGGACUGAGACACGGCCCAAACUCCUACGGGAGGCAGCAGUGGGAAUAUUGGACAAUGGGCGCAAGCCUGAUCCAGCCAUGCCGCGUGAGUGAUGAAGGCCCUAGGUUGUAAAGCUCUUUUGUGCGGGAAGAUAAUGACGGUACCGCAAGAAUAAGCCCGGCUAACUUCGUGCCAGCAGCCGC